UAGGGAAUCUUCCGCAAUGGACGCAAGUCUGACGGAGCAACGCCGCGUGAGUGAAGAAGGAUUUCGGUUCGUAAAGCUCUGUUGUUAAGGAAGAACGAGUGUGAGAAUGGAAAGUUCAUACUGUGACGGUACUUAACCAGAAAGGGACGGCUAACUACGUGCCAGCAGCCGCGGUAAUACGUAGGUCCCGAGCGUUGUCCGGAUUUAUUGGGCGUAAAGCGAGCGCAGGCGGUUAGAUAAGUCUGAAGUUAAAGGCAGUGGCUCAACCAUUGUAGGCUUUGGAAACUGUUUAACUUGAGUGCAGAAGGGGAGAGUGGAAUUCCAUGUGUAGCGGUGAAAUGCGUAGAUAUAUGGAGGAACACCGGUGGCGAUGGCGACUCUCUGGUCUGUAACUGACGCUGAGGCUCGAAAGCGUGGGUAGCAAACAGG
RNAcentral lists this ribosomal RNA (429 nucleotides) under Bacteroidota bacterium. RNAcentral describes it as "Bacteroidetes bacterium partial 16S ribosomal RNA". It matches the Rfam family "Bacterial small subunit ribosomal RNA", at positions 355 to 776 of the family's 1533-position model. The record is from RNAcentral. Lineage: Bacteria; Pseudomonadati; Bacteroidota.